GGAAAGAGCUGAGCUUGGAAGAGAAACAGACGAUUUGUUAAAUGGGUAGUGAAAAGAAUCAAAGUAAGCUCGAGACUCGAGCUCUUCCAAGGUCUUGAUUGGAUAAGAGACAGGAGUGGACGGCUCUGAUGGGUCAAACGGAGUAGGAACAACGGCAGAGGAUUGUUGCUGAAGAUCAUUGGAUUGAGACAUGGUAGGAAAGAUGGAGAAAGAUUGGAUUUUUUUUUUGCUGAUUAGCGUGAGGAAGUUGUAUAGAGAGAGCGAGAGAACAAGAUUCGAACGGUUUAUGUAGGCG
RNAcentral lists this unclassified non-coding RNA (295 nucleotides) under Hevea brasiliensis (rubber tree). Lineage: Eukaryota; Viridiplantae; Streptophyta; Magnoliopsida; Malpighiales; Euphorbiaceae. The record is from RNAcentral.